Molecule: ribosomal RNA, 253 nt
Filed under: uncultured bacterium
Lineage: Bacteria
Description: partial 16S ribosomal RNA
Rfam family: Bacterial small subunit ribosomal RNA
Source: RNAcentral
UACGUAGGGACCGAGCGUUGUCCGGAAUCAUUGGGCGUAAAGAGCGUGUAGGCGGCUCGCUAAGUCUUGCGUGAAAUCUCGGGGCUCAACCCCGAGCGGUCGUGAGAAACUGGCGGGCUAGAGUGCGGGAGAGGAGAGUGGAAUUCCCGGUGUAGUGGUGAAAUGCGUAGAUAUCGGGAGGAACCCCAGUGGCGAAGGGGACUUCCUGGCCUGUUCUUGACGCUGAGGCGCGAAAGCUAGGGGAGCAAACGGG